This is a non-coding RNA of Cajanus cajan (pigeon pea), 1447 nucleotides long. The record is from RefSeq and is a predicted model, not a curated record. Lineage: Eukaryota; Viridiplantae; Streptophyta; Magnoliopsida; Fabales; Fabaceae.
AUUGCCCCUCGCCCCUCCCCUUUCAUUUCUCUUUCAUUUUCUCUAUCGGAUUUCAAUUUCAGAAAUAAAAAAUCAUUUUUAAUUUUUUAAUACCUUUUAUCAAAGCAUCUGAUUCUGUUAGGUUCUGUUCUGAUUGAUUAUUAGAAGUUUGGGUUAUACGGAUUGGCUCUUGGUAAUUUUUAAUUACCUUUUUUUUUUGUAUUGAUAUUAUUGUAGGCGAUUUGCGAUCCUUCGUUGGUUUUCUGUUUUAUAUAUUUGUUGCGUGUUGAAUAAUAUAUAUAAUUAUAUAUAUAUAGUUGAUUAUUUAGGUAUUAUUGCUGAUAAUCCCGGUACUUGGUACUUGUCAUUGAUGCGGAAUUUUCAUUUUUAUUUUUAUUUUUAUUUAUUUAUUUUGUUUCUAAUCAAUAUUUUGCGUUCAAGUUUGAAGUGGGGCUAUGGAGUAUACCUUGCAAAUGAUUUUUUAGGUUGUGUGAGGGAGAGGUAUUUUUGUCUAGGUAGAUCUUUUUGCCUGAGUACUGUAAUGAAUCAGAGUUGAGUUUUUCUGAUAACAUUGUUGAAUGUUUCUCAAUUUUUUUAUGGUCCUUUUGUAUUUGGCUGGUCAGAGUGGUGAUUGUUGAAUUGUCUUUUACAGUUAAUGCCGGGACAAACAAAACUGUUUCCAGUAGUACUUCCUUGAAUACUAAGACACAGGGUGAAAACUUUUCUCACAAAAGAUCAAAGCAAAAGAAGACCAAGUGUGAUACAGGGAAGUGUUGGUGAGUACUGCUUUCACCAUUGUAAAGCAGCAUCUGUUGUGAUUGUUCCUGUAAAAGUUCUUUGAUUCACAGAUGCCGGAGAUGCCUCAAUCGUCUAGUGGAAUUAUGUUUUAAACAAUGUAGUUCCUUUCAGUACUAGAAAGACUAUUGGUGGAUCACCUGAAGGCAUUGCUCCAUUUCUACCGUUGUCACGUAUUAGUGAGACUACUAUUAAGAAGGUGAUCCAAAAGUGAAGAAGAGAAAAACAAUGUCAAAGCUUGAAACUUCCAAGUAUGAGGAGCAGAGGAUGCAAAAAAUUGCAGAAAAUAGAGCAAGAUUAGAGGCUCUUGGGUUGUCCCAAAUCUCCUCCAUUUUUAAGGGUCUGAUUCAAAAUUCUAAGAAGAGAGAUAAAGAGAAAGUUGAAAAGGAUGAUGAAGACUACAUACUUGAAGAUGAAGAAGAACUUGGAUCAAAUUUUUCUAGUGAGGAUAACAACGAUAAUGAUUUUAGUGUUGAAAAUGCUUUUGGGUCACGAAAAAGAAAGGCAAGUGUUGAAUUUUUUUUUCAUUGUAAUUCUAAUAUGCAUUAUUUUGUUAUCAAAUUAUAAUAGAUUGUAUUAGAGUAAUUUAGUUUGUUAAUCAUUUAAGUCAAUAACAUAUGCAUUUAGGAAAAACUUUUCUUAUCAAAUAUUACUAAUCCCUAAAAUUUAUAGU